This 497-nucleotide ribosomal RNA is filed under the name uncultured bacterium. Its description in RNAcentral is "partial 16S ribosomal RNA". It matches the Rfam family "Bacterial small subunit ribosomal RNA", at positions 28 to 507 of the family's 1533-position model. The record is from RNAcentral.
GAUGAACGCUGGCGGCGUGCCUAAUACAUGCAAGUCGAGCGAACGGACGAGAAGCUUGCUUCUCUGAUGUUAGCGGCGGACGGGUGAGUAACACGUGGAUAACCUACCUAUAAGACUGGGAUAACUUCGGGAAACCGUAGCUAAUACCGGAUAAUAUUUUGAACCGCAUGGUUCAAGAGUGAAAGACGGUCUUGCUGUCACUUAUAGAUGGAUCCGCGCUGCAUUAGCUAGUUGGUAAGGUAACGGCUUACCAAGGCAACGAUGCAUAGCCGACCUGAGAGGGUGAUCGGCCACACUGGAACUGAGACACGGUCAAGACUCCUACGGGAGGCAGCAGUAGGGAAUCUUCCGCAAUGGGCGAAAGCCUGACGGAGCAACGCCGCGUGAGUGAUGAAGGUCUUCGGAUCGUAAAACUCUGUUAGUAGGGAAGAACAUAUGUGUAAGUAACUGUGCACAUCUUGACGGUUACUAAUCAGAAAGCCACGGCUAACUACGUG